Molecule: ribosomal RNA, 376 nt
Filed under: uncultured bacterium
Lineage: Bacteria
Description: bacterial SSU rRNA
Rfam family: Bacterial small subunit ribosomal RNA
Source: RNAcentral
UACGUAGGGGGCGAGCGUUGUCCGGAAUUACUGGGCGUAAAGGGUGCGUAGGCGGCCAGAUAAGUCAGAUGUGAAAUACCACGGCUUAACCGUGGGGGUGCAUUUGAAACUGUUUGGCUUGAGUGCAGGAGAGGAAAGCGGAAUUCCUAGUGUAGCGGUGAAAUGCGUAGAGAUUAGGAGGAACACCAGUGGCGAAGGCGGCUUUCUGGACUGUAACUGACGCUGAGGCACGAAAGCGUGGGUAGCGAACAGGAUUAGAUACCCUGGUAGUCCACGCCGUAAACGAUGGAUACUAGGUGUAGGGGGUAUCGACCCCCUCUGUGCCGGAGUUAACGCAAUAAGUAUCCCGCCUGGGGAGUACGUGCGCAAGCAUGAA